AAGAUAGAUAACAAUAUUAUUGGAAAUUCCUAUUAUUUUUCGUAAAUGGGUUAAGAAAACAACUUAAACUUGAACUCCAACAGGUCACUUCUAUAUGAAGGGCUCCUGAAAUAAACUAAAAUUAAUCAUACCACUGAACAGUCACGUUGCAAGUUGCAAAACGUUCAAAUAAAAAAAAUUAAAAUGAGGUUUUUCGUGAUUGUCCCACUACUUCUUUUCGCUUUCAUGGGUUUGGUGAAAUGUGGUAUCAUACCAACAUACCAAAAUUGCGAUCCAAUGUUAUGUCAUCGAGUGAGAUGUUACAAUGUUGAUGAAUCAGUUUGCGAUAGAAACAGUGAGGUCUUCGUACCUAGAGAUGGUAUCUGUCAUUGUUGCGAUAGCUGCAUGUCAGUGGACAAAUUCCUGAUGUAUUCCAGAAUAGGUUAGCCUUUUUUAAGAAGAAUUCCAUUUCGAUUUUCAGAAAUGAGAAAUAUUUUACGUUGAAUUGAAUUCAACUAUUAUAAGAAUCUAAUGUUAUUAUACUAUAUGUUAAGAUAAUAAAUUAUUUAUUCGA
Harmonia axyridis is the source of this 553-nucleotide long non-coding RNA. RefSeq lists it as uncharacterized. The transcript is spliced from 2 exons. The record is from RefSeq and is a predicted model, not a curated record. NCBI's taxonomy places the organism in Eukaryota, Metazoa, Arthropoda, Insecta, Coleoptera, Coccinellidae.